This 118-nucleotide ribosomal RNA is filed under the name Triticum aestivum (bread wheat). Lineage: Eukaryota; Viridiplantae; Streptophyta; Magnoliopsida; Poales; Poaceae. The record is from RNAcentral.
GGAUGCGAUCGUACCAGCACUAAAGCACCGGUCCCAUCAGAACUCUGAAGUUAAGCAUGCUUGGGAGAGAGUAGUACUAGGAUGGGUGACCUCCUGGGAAGUCCUCGUGUUGCAUUCC